GGUCACCUCUCUCCUUUCACGUCUCUCUCUCCCUCGCAUCUCUCCGCGCCGUCGUCGACGUGAGGAGCGCCAUCUCCAUCCCGCGUUUUUCCUCCUUCGUCCUCCCCUUCUGCAGCCCAAGCCACGACCUAUCUUGUGUGCCAUUGUUUGCCUCCCCGUCGGGACCAGGCAGAGGAGGAGCAGUGCGAGCCAUGGAGAUGACGAGGUGGUCGAGCUGCCUGUGGCACCGUUGCCGUACCUCACGGCCCAGCUGGAGGUGUGUCGGCCGCAAAGACGGUAGAGGUCUCAUCCGCUCGCUCUCUCGCUGUCAUAGGAGUGCGCGUAGGGGGAGUGGCAGGUCAAGAUCCGGAGACGGCGGGGCAGCGACCAUUCCCGUGAGUCCCGGCGGCGAGCAGAGCUCCUAUUACUGAACGGAGAGGGGUCGAGGGGCGCUCCGGAUCUGGAUCCGGGCGAGGUGGCGGCCAUGGCCGAGCUCGAGCUGCUUGGUGUCCCAGAGGGCGCCUCCUUCAACGAGAUCCUGCGCGCCCCGUCGUCGCCUCUUGCAAGGAUGACCCAGAUGCCGUCGCCCAGGUCCCUCCUCCCUCCUCCCUCCUCCCAAACUUCUCCUCCACUCCAUAUUGUCCCCUUUCCACGUUUGCUUAUUGUUCAACUGAAUAAUUCGUUAGAAGGAUCCUUUGAUUGUCCCCAGAAGUUGCUAAUUUAGGAGAACAAGUCGCCUCCAUCAAAUUGGAAAUGCAUGAAUGGCGACGUAUGUAUGAUGCAUCUUACUUUCUCAUGCCCAAACGCAAAAUUAAUCUACUUCCAUACACGGCGAGGAAAAGCAAAGACCUGAUCAUCAGUAAUUUGGGCAAUUUGGUGCACAGUUGUUCGCAUGUGAUGUAUCAGGUCUGUUAAAAUAGUCUACUUUUGGCAUUAAGUGUGUUAGCUUAUAGUGGUAGCAUGAUUUGAGGAGGAGGAGCGAGGUCGAAAGAUGGCAGCCAGUCCGACCACGUCCUCUCUUCAUUCCUUUCUCCCUUUCGAUCUUGGAUUUGAUCUAGAUGCCGCCGUCGCCGUGGUUGCCUCGCCGUCGUGGCUCAGGAGACGAUGCGUCGUCUCGCGGCUGGACCGGAAAGGGAAGUGACCAGAGACACAUCUUCUCCUCUCCUUGGCAGCAAUGCAGGCAGGCGAUGAGGAGGCUUGCAAUGAACAUAGAAGACAAAACAGAGAAGAGAGACUACAUGUUCUUGCAAGAUGCAGUCGUGCUGCUGACAGAAACAAUUUUAUCUCAAGAUCAAUCUGGGAGGAAUUAUCAGGCACACGACCAGCGAGCGGUGGCAGAAGCAACUUCUCCAUUAGACUACAUGACAGUGUUGGUUCUCAGAAAGUGAAGCUCACCUGCAUGCACUUCCGCUAGUUCUAUGAAGCAAAAUGCAAAGAAGGAAAACCAAUGAAUUUUUGGAAGGUACAGAGUAUGAAUGUUCCAGUCUAUGAUGGAGAAAUUUUUCUGUGCAACCAUCUGACCAAGGAGUGCUUCCACAGAAACUUUUUGACCUUUCAUCUAAGUGUACUGAUUUUACACAUAAAGUUAAAUCUGGCAUGACACUAUUCUUGUAUGAUGUUGAGCACCGUAAGCUUCAUGGGGUGUUUGAACCAACUUCAGAUGGAGCAAUGAAUAUCAUUCCUGAUGCAUAUGCCUUGUCAGGGUUUCAGUAUCCUUGUCUGGUUGUAAAGCAGCAUGUUUAAUUAUUACUUGGCAUAGGGGAAGGGAAGUGGUUUCUCUCUGUCGAGGAGGACAAACAGAGAUAGAGGAGGCAGAUAUGAUAUGCUUGGCAUUAUGCUGUGACGAUAGUGGGCCAUGGAUCUGGAUGUGGAGUGAAUGUCGAGGUUUCCUCCAUGCUUCCAUACAAUGUCGAAGGACAGCGGAUGUUGUAGUCUGUUCAUCCUGGAUAGUACUGAGGAUGAAUACAAACUUAUAUGUAAUUAGCUGGUGCUUGCUUUACUUAAGACGGCCACUGUUGCACUUCUGAUUUCUUGCUUGGUCUUGUACAUGUCUACCGUGUUGUUGUUAAAGUUUCUGAUGUACACUUGUUCCAGCCACAAACAUGGAAGCAAGUUGUUCCUAUAAAUCCAUGAUACCCACAAACAUUUUUAGAUCGUUAUCUACAGAA
Molecule: RNA transcript, 2147 nt
Organism: Triticum dicoccoides
Lineage: Eukaryota; Viridiplantae; Streptophyta; Magnoliopsida; Poales; Poaceae
Exons: 8
Source: RefSeq, a predicted model, not a curated record